This 253-nucleotide ribosomal RNA is filed under the name uncultured bacterium. RNAcentral's name for it is "partial 16S ribosomal RNA". It matches the Rfam family "Bacterial small subunit ribosomal RNA", at positions 524 to 776 of the family's 1533-position model. The record is from RNAcentral.
UACGUAGGGAGCAAGCGUUGUUCGGAUUUACUGGGCGUAAAGGGCGCGUAGGCGGUCGUGACAAGUCACUUGUGAAAUCUCCGGGCUUAACUCGGAACGGUCAAGUGAUACUGUCGGACUAGAGUACAGAAGGGGCAACUGGAAUUCUCGGUGUAGCGGUGAAAUGCGUAGAUAUCGAGAGGAACACCUGCGGCGAAGGCGGGUUGCUGGGCUGAUACUGACGCUGAGGCGCGAAAGCCAGGGAGCGAACGGG